UCCGAGGGGCGCAAGUGUUGUUCGGAAUCACUGGGCGUAAAGGGCGCGUAGGCGGGUUUUUAAGUUAGGUGUUUAAUCCCGGGGCCCAACCCCGGACCGGCACUUAAAACUGGGAAUCUUGAAUAGUGGAGAGGUCAGUGGAAUUGGGGGUGUAGCGGUGGAAUGCGUAGAGAUCCCCAAGAACACCAGUUGCGAAGGCGGCUGACUGGACACAUAUUGACGCUGAGGCUCGAAAGCAUGGGGAGCAAACAGG
RNAcentral lists this ribosomal RNA (253 nucleotides) under uncultured bacterium. Its description in RNAcentral is "partial 16S ribosomal RNA". It matches the Rfam family "Bacterial small subunit ribosomal RNA", at positions 524 to 776 of the family's 1533-position model. The record is from RNAcentral.